UUCAGCUGAUGCCAUGGACACAACAAGAAAAAGAUUUUCCCACGAUCUGAAAUUCGUUGAAAAUGGAGUGUGAAACAAAUCUAGUUGAAUUUGUGAAAACAAACGAGUGCUUCAGGUCGAAGGAACAUCGACUGUGUGAAACCAGCCACACGAGAUAGAAAAUUUGGACUGAUAUACCAAAUGCACUGAAACAAGGAGUGUUGAAACGAAAGUGGAAGAGCCGUUACGUGAUAGAUAUUCGCGGAAUAAAUGUGCUCCAAGUAUAGGAUUGACACCGAUUGAAGCAUCAUCAAGGCAGUAUUUUGAAGCAUUAAAGAUUCUGUAAACACUUGUCAGCAAAUGAAGGACUGCCAGCAACUACGACCCUGAACGAUCAGUUCUCAGCACAAAAAUAUUGAUCUUCGCGACAUUAAGCUGAUGGUGAAAACAAUGCAUGCAGCAAAACCUCCG
Molecule: long non-coding RNA, 450 nt
Organism: Toxorhynchites rutilus septentrionalis
Lineage: Eukaryota; Metazoa; Arthropoda; Insecta; Diptera; Culicidae
Exons: 3
Source: RefSeq, a predicted model, not a curated record